AACCAGUUUUCCUCUCUCCUGGGAACCUCAGCCACCAAGCCUGACCCCAAUUGUCACCAUCUCUGGUAUCCCAUCAAGGAUUCUUUCCUCUGAACAGUCUUUGAUCUGUGUAUCACUGAAUGUCUUAUUUUGAAUUUCAUGUGUAUAGCAGCUGCCCACAGUUCCCUGGGAAGGAAGCUGGUAUAAAUCAUUAAAAAACGAAAACAAAAACAAAAAAUAGACCGGAUGACAGUUUGCUCUGAGGCUCCCAAGGAAGUCAGGUAAGGCCUGUGAAAUUGGGUCUUUUAUUUUUUUUGGUCACUCAGCAUGCAGACUGUUAGUUUCCCAACAAAGGAUCAAACCCGUGCCCCCUGCAGUGGAAUUGCAGUCUUAACCACUGGACCACCAGGGAAGUCCCAGGAUCAGGUCUUAAUACUGGUGUCAGCAGAGCAACGAGGCGAGCCCUGGCGUGCCUGUCUGCUCCUGGACCAGGAGACUGAAAGCAUGUGUUCUUGAGAAGGAUGUGAUCUGACUCACACCCUGGGAAUUCUCUCUUGGCUCUGGGUCUGAACGUUUUGCACAAUGUCUACAAUCACACUCGCUAGGAUAUUUUCGGUUUGGAAUAUAAUUUUGAGAUACCUUCACAUCAUCCACAUUUUCUCUUUUUAAAAUGGCAAAAGUUACCUCCAUAUGGUUUAUGUGGUACAAUGCUUCCUAGAGAUGCAGAGUAGAAUUUCUAAGUUACAUGCUUUGGGUUGCCUCUGUUCCUAGAGCCUGAGCUCUGGCAACGUUUCACUCUCUGAAGGUCUGGAGACCCAAGUUGGACCCUGUGCUCCAUGGGCUGCCUCUGAAACUCAGGGUAGUCCUCAGUUAGAUCCAUUCAGCUUGCCUUCAUUGAUGAAGCUUGCUUUAAUUGUUGCUACACAACAGCCUGCCCGUACUGUAAGGACCAGGCAGCUUCAACAGUAAGAUGUUUUUCCAAGUUUUUGUUGUUUUUUUUUUUUUUCAGGAACUUGGAGACAGCUGUGUCUAGUUGGAGCUUGAGCCUGUUAAGACUGGUUAAGACCGCUGACGCUCCAACUGGGCACGUGCAAGUGGCUUCUUGCUGACCUUUUGACCUCAGAGAGCUCAAAACUAUCUUUUGUUUUGACACUAAGGCCGCCAUAUUCUGAACUUGCUUCCCAUGGAGACACCUAUAGCUUCCUUGCACCUGCUUAGAACUACAAUUGCCUCACCUUUUUCUCAUCUCCAAUCAUUACCUUUCCCCAUGCUCCUCAGCUGCCACUUUAUCCCACGAAUACCUGGGCCACUUGAAGUGGGGGAGGCAGCCUGGAGAUUUGUUCUGUCUCCACGCUUGGCUGCCUUGUGAACGUGCUGCAAACCUCAGCAUCUCAGCGCUUGGCUUACUGUGCUUGGGAUGAAUGAGCCUGGAAUUUGGUAGCAUCUCAUUUAGGGGGAAUUUGAAAGAAGCAGAAGACCUGAUUCCUGCUCUCAAGGCAUUUACAGGUUGGACAAAUUACAUAGUCAGCCCUGCAGGCCACAGUUGACUGGCUCACGAGUGGGGCUCUGACGUGAAAGUGUCAGCCUGGACUUUUAAAGGACCUAGGCAGAGGAAAAAGGAGUUGUUCUCCAGCAGCUGGAAGCUGAACACAGAUGUUCUAUUGUUCGGGAACGCAUCUUUGCAGGACUGUCAUUUGAGGAAUAAAGAAGUUACUGAUGCCGUAUUUGAUUGUCACCGAUGGAGCAGAAGCCCCUUUCCAUCUUGAACCUGGUGUAUUGGUGGAUUUUUGGAAACACACAUCAAGGAAUGCCAAGCUGAAGUCCAGCAUAUUGAGAUGUCUCAGUGUCUUCUAAACAAAGACUGGUCCUAUGGCAGAGGAGUGCACCAAGUCGAGUCCUUAGGAGCCUUUUCGUUCCCAGGAUUUGGGGCCCUCUGGAAGGAGGCCAGCAAACCUCCCACAUGAGGAUGAGAGAGCCAGCUGACUGCCUGGAAGUAAACCAUCUCUAUGUGGCUCUUCAACCUCAUCUAAAUAGUACAUAAGCACGAUGGUGAAGAGCACUUACAGAGAAGUGUUCACACCCUAGUCACUUCCGGAGAACACGCUCCCCUCGUGGAUGGCGCAA
Bubalus bubalis (water buffalo) is the source of this 2103-nucleotide long non-coding RNA. RefSeq lists it as uncharacterized. The transcript has 4 exons. The record is from RefSeq and is a predicted model, not a curated record. NCBI's taxonomy places the organism in Eukaryota, Metazoa, Chordata, Mammalia, Artiodactyla, Bovidae.